GGAGCUGUAUUAUAAGUUUUUAGUAUGGAGCAUUGUCAUUGUUUUGGUUUAGGCUCUU
Molecule: transfer RNA, 58 nt
Filed under: Camallanus cotti
Lineage: Eukaryota; Metazoa; Nematoda; Chromadorea; Rhabditida; Camallanidae
Description: tRNA-Asp
Source: RNAcentral